Molecule: ribosomal RNA, 1125 nt
Filed under: Staphylococcus aureus
Lineage: Bacteria; Bacillati; Bacillota; Bacilli; Caryophanales; Staphylococcaceae
Description: partial 23S ribosomal RNA
Rfam family: Bacterial large subunit ribosomal RNA
Source: RNAcentral
GAGAAUGCCGGUGUGAGUAGCGAAAGACGGGUGAGAAUCCCGUCCACCGAUUGACUAAGGUUUCCAGAGGAAGGCUCGUCCGCUCUGGGUUAGUCGGGUCCUAAGCUGAGGCCGACAGGCGUAGGCGAUGGAUAACAGGUUGAUAUUCCUGUACCACCUAUAAUCGUUUUAAUCGAUGGGGGGACGCAGUAGGAUAGGCGAAGCGUGCGAUUGGAUUGCACGUCUAAGCAGUAAGGCUGAGUAUUAGGCAAAUCCGGUACUCGUUAAGGCUGAGCUGUGAUGGGGAGAAGACAUUGUGUCUUCGAGUCGUUGAUUUCACACUGCCGAGAAAAGCCUCUAGAUAGAAAAUAGGUGCCCGUACCGCAAACCGACACAGGUAGUCAAGAUGAGAAUUCUAAGGUGAGCGAGCGAACUCUCGUUAAGGAACUCGGCAAAAUGACCCCGUAACUUCGGGAGAAGGGGUGCUCUUUAGGGUUAACGCCCAGAAGAGCCGCAGUGAAUAGGCCCAAGCGACUGUUUAUCAAAAACACAGGUCUCUGCUAAACCGUAAGGUGAUGUAUAGGGGCUGACGCCUGCCCGGUGCUGGAAGGUUAAGAGGAGUGGUUAGCUUCUGCGAAGCUACGAAUCGAAGCCCCAGUAAACGGCGGCCGUAACUAUAACGGUCCUAAGGUAGCGAAAUUCCUUGUCGGGUAAGUUCCGACCCGCACGAAAGGCGUAACGAUUUGGGCACUGUCUCAACGAGAGACUCGGUGAAAUCAUAGUACCUGUGAAGAUGCAGGUUACCCGCGACAGGACGGAAAGACCCCGUGGAGCUUUACUGUAGCCUGAUAUUGAAAUUCGGCACAGCUUGUACAGGAUAGGUAGGAGCCUUUGAAACGUGAGCGCUAGCUUACGUGGAGGCGCUGGUGGGAUACUACCCUAGCUGUGUUGGCUUUCUAACCCGCACCACUUAUCGUGGUGGGAGACAGUGUCAGGCGGGCAGUUUGACUGGGGCGGUCGCCUCCUAAAAGGUAACGGAGGCGCUCAAAGGUUCCCUCAGAAUGGUUGGAAAUCAUUCAUAGAGUGUAAAGGCAUAAGGGAGCUUGACUGCGAGACCUACAAGUCGAGCAGGGUCGAAAGACGGAC